AGCGUCCGCAGGGGGCGCAUCAAGUCUGCUGUUAAAGGUCGGAGCUUAACUCCGGUGAGGCAGUGGAAACUGGUGCGCUAGAGGGCGACAGGGGUAGAGGGAAUUCCCAGUGUAGCGGUGAAAUGCGUAGAGAUUGGGAAGAACACCGGUGGCGAAAGCGCUCUACUGGGUCGCACCUGACCCUCAGGGACGAAAGCUAAGGUAGCGAAAGGGAUUAGAUACCCCUGUAGUCUUAGCCGUAAACGAUGGAUACUAGGCGUGGUUUGUAUCGACCCAAGCCGUGCCGAAGCUAACGCGUUAAGUAUCCCGCCUGGGGAGUACGCACGCAAGUGUGAAACUCAAAGGAAUUGACGGGGGCCCGCACAAGCGGUGGAGGAUGUGGUUUAAUUCGAUGCAACGCGAAGAACCUUACCAGGGCUUGACAUCCCGCGAAGUCUGGGGAAACUCGGAUGUGCCUUCGGGAACGCGGAGACAGGUGGUGCAUGGCUGUCGUCAGCUCGUGUCGUGAGAUGUUGGGUUAAGUCCCGCAACGAGCGCAACCCUCGUCCUUAGUUGCCAGCAUUAAGUUGGGCACUCUAGGGAGACUGCCGGUGACAAACCGGAGGAAGGUGAGGAUGACGUCAAGUCAGCAUGCCCCUUAUGCUCUGGGCGACACACGUCCUACAAUGGUCGGGACAAAGGGGAGCCAGCUCGCGAGAGUAAGCGAAUCCCAUCAAACUCGGCCUCAGUUCAGAUUGCAGGCUGCAACUCGCCUGCAUGAAGGAGGAAUCGCUAG
This 775-nucleotide ribosomal RNA is filed under the name uncultured organism. RNAcentral describes it as "bacterial SSU rRNA". It matches the Rfam family "Bacterial small subunit ribosomal RNA", at positions 564 to 1338 of the family's 1533-position model. The record is from RNAcentral.